This 21-nucleotide non-coding RNA is filed under the name Caenorhabditis elegans. Lineage: Eukaryota; Metazoa; Nematoda; Chromadorea; Rhabditida; Rhabditidae. The record is from RNAcentral.
UUUCAGUAUGUUCAAAGGAAA